CUGAUGGAGCAACGCCGCGUGAGUGAAGAAGGUUUUCGGAUCGUAAAGCUCUGUUGUUGGUGAAGAAGGAUAGAGGCAGUAACUGGUCUUUAUUUGACGGUAAUCAACCAGAAAGUCACGGCUAACUACGUGCCAGCAGCCGCGGUAAUA
This 150-nucleotide ribosomal RNA is filed under the name uncultured Lactobacillus sp. RNAcentral's name for it is "partial 16S ribosomal RNA". It matches the Rfam family "Bacterial small subunit ribosomal RNA", at positions 383 to 525 of the family's 1533-position model. The record is from RNAcentral. Lineage: Bacteria; Bacillati; Bacillota; Bacilli; Lactobacillales; Lactobacillaceae.